Molecule: ribosomal RNA, 194 nt
Filed under: Bacillus sp. UNCCL81
Lineage: Bacteria; Bacillati; Bacillota; Bacilli; Caryophanales; Bacillaceae
Description: 16S rRNA. Bacterial SSU
Rfam family: Bacterial small subunit ribosomal RNA
Source: RNAcentral
CUGGCUCAGGACGAACGCUGGCGGCGUGCCUAAUACAUGCAAGUCGAGCGGACUAAUGGGAGCUUGCUCCCGUUAGUUAGCGGCGGACGGGUGAGUAACACGUGGGCAACCUACCUGUAAGACUGGGAUAACUUCGGGAAACCGGAGCUAAUACCGGAUGACAUAAAGGAACUCCUGUUCCUUUAUUGAAAGAU